GAUGAACGCUGGCGGCGUGCCUAAUACAUGCAAGUCGAGCGAACAGACGAGAAGCUUGCUCUUCUGAUGUUAGCGGCGGACGGGUGAGUAACACGUGGAUAACCUACCUAUAAGACUGGGAUAACUUCGGGAAACCGGAGCUAAUACCGGAUAAUAUAUUGAACCGCAUGGUUCAAUAGUGAAAGACGGUUUUGCUGUCACUUAUAGAUGGAUCCGCGCUGCAUUAGCUAGUUGGUAAGGUAACGGCUUACCAAGGCAACGAUGCGUAGCCGACCUGAGAGGGUGAUCGGCCACACUGGAACUGAGACACGGUCCAGACUCCUACGGGAGGCAGCAGUAGGGAAUCUUCCGCAAUGGGCGAAAGCCUGACGGAGCAACGCCGCGUGAGUGAUGAAGGUCUUCGGAUCGUAAAACUCUGUUAUUAGGGAAGAACACAUGUGUAAGUAACUAUGCACGUCUUGACGGUACCUAAUCAGAAAGCCACGGCUAACUACGUG
RNAcentral lists this ribosomal RNA (497 nucleotides) under uncultured bacterium. Its description in RNAcentral is "partial 16S ribosomal RNA". It matches the Rfam family "Bacterial small subunit ribosomal RNA", at positions 28 to 507 of the family's 1533-position model. The record is from RNAcentral.